Long non-coding RNA from Heterocephalus glaber (naked mole-rat), 3075 nucleotides. The record is from Ensembl. NCBI's taxonomy places the organism in Eukaryota, Metazoa, Chordata, Mammalia, Rodentia, Bathyergidae.
GCGGAGGAGGGGCGCCAGGGCGGCGCGGGCCCGGGGCCACCUGCUGGCCGAGCCGCUGCUCCCCGGGGCGCCGCUUCCGCCUGGCCGAGCGCGGCGCCCCGAGGAGGCGGGAGGCCGCGGCGCAGCGCCCUGGGCCGGGCCCGCCGCGGGGCCUGGGCUCGCGGACCCUUGGUCGCCGCCCGCCCCGGAGCUGGAGCCGCCGCGGCCGCGGCUGCGGGCCGGGAACUUACCCUUUGCCGUCUGCGAGGCCGGCGGAGGUGGAGCGCGGGCUCGGUUCCGGCGGACUCGGUCCGAGGGGAGUUGGGGUGCGGGGGCUGUGCCCCAGGUCGAACGCCGGUGCUCGACGGACGCGGGGCGGGGGCGGGUUUGUGUCCCGCGCCUCCUGGGGGCAGCGCCGACCGCGGGCGCCCCGGAGCGGAACGGAAAGGAAUUCGGCCCGGGGAGAGCGUGCUGAACGCGGCGACACGCCGGACCGAAAGCCCCGGCGGGCGUGCGGAGGGCACGGACGGCCCGGCCCUACGGCCCCCGGCUCGGGGAGACCGGCCACUCCGCGUGGCCCUCACCCCGGAAGCAAAACUGGACCAGGAUAUUACAUAUACAGUUAAUAAUCCAGACCCUAAGUGGACAGCUCAAUUGAUUCCUGUUAUUUGCAUCCAUUCACUGCCCACCCACGUGGACCCACGUGUAAAACUUUUCCCAGCUCACCAGCAGGCUCCCACAGUAGAUGAGAACCCUUGAGCUCUCCCCCACUGGCUCCAGGAAACCACAGUUCUGACUUCUGUCACCAUAGCUUUGCUGUUUACCUGGUGUUGAACUUCGUAUAAAUGGAAUCAUUUCUAGGGGUGAGCAGAAUAAAUGCCUCUGUUUAAUCUGCCAUGAAAACUGGAAACUUCUCUCCGCCUUCCUAAACAGUAGUGUGAUAUGGGGAGGAAGAGAGUGAAAGAGAGGUAUCGCACCUGCAGAGGAAAUUAUCAGUUGGAGAGAGGGGACAAGAUGCUUCCCCCUAAGAUCAGGAACAGGACAAGGCCAUCUGCUCUCACCACUCCUAUGCAACGUUAUCUUGAAAGUCUGAGGUACUGCAAAGACAACACAAUGAAAUAAAAGGUAUGCAGGUUGGGAAGUAAGAAAUAAAACUGUCUUUACUGGCAUCUGACGUGAUUGUCUAUGUAGAAAUUCCAAAAAAAUCAAUAGAAUGAAUACUUGAUCGUAGUAAGGACACAAUAUGAGGUUAAUAUAAAAAAGUCAAUCGCAAUUUUAUAUACCAACAAUGAAGAAGGAAUUUGGAACACACAAAAACAUUUACAUUGGCACUUCAAAGGAAAGAGGUUAGGUAUAAAUCUAACAAAAUGUGAAUAAGCUCUAUAAUAGGAAAACUACAAAGCUCUGAUGAAAGAAGAUAUAAAUGAAGAGAUAUACUUCAUGCAUAAAAAUAGGAUGACAAUGCUGCCAACUGUCAUUUCUGACUCCAUCUAUAGACUCAAUGUGUUCCCAAAGAAUAGCACAGAAAUAUGACCACCAAGCUAUUACCAAACUGGUCUUUAGCAAAAGAGUAAAGGCAAUGCAAUGGAGAAUGGACAGCCUUUUCAACAGAUGGUUCUGGAACAAGUGGACAUCUACACACAAAAAGUCACUGCAGACAUCUUUCACAAGUUAAUGAAAUUAAAUCAGACCUAAAUGUAAAACAAAACUAGUAAACUUCCGAAAGAUAAGAGAAGUGAUCUUGGGUUUGGUGAUAACUUCUCAAAACAACAAAAAAAUUCUCGAAAGAAAAAUAAUGACAAUUGACUUCAUUAAAAUUUUAAAAAAUUGUUCUGGGAAAGACAUACAGAUAAUUAAAUGACAAAAUAUAUGAAGAACUCUUCAAACUCCACGGUCCGAAUUUUUUAAAAGGCAGAGGGGAGACCCAAACAGACUUCUCACCAAAGAAAAACAACUAAAUAAAUAUGUAAAGAGAUGUUCAGCACCAUAUGUCAUUAAGGAAUUACAAAUUAAGUCAGCAAUGAGAUACUUCUACACACUUACAUUACAUAGCUAAAAUCCAAAACAGUGAUAACACCAAAUGUCAGUGGAGAUGUGGAGAUCACAGCACCUUUACAACAGUUUGGCCAUUUCUUACAAAAGUGCAUGUACUCAUGUCAUUCCGCAUGAGUUGAAAUUUCCUGUCCACACAAAAAGACUGCACACAAAUGUUUAUAACAGCUUGAUUAAUAAUUGCCAACACUUGAAAGCAACAGAGGGGUUCUUUGGUAGGUGGAUGGAUAAACUGACUGUGGUGUAGCCAUGCAGUGUAAUAUUAUUAAGUGAUGAAGUGAUCUAUAAGGACACAAAAAAGACUUAGUAUAACUUUUUUUUUUAAUUUUUUUUUUAUUUUUGGUACCAGGGAUUGAACUCGGUAUCUUGCACUUGCAAGGCAGGCAGCAGAACCACUGAGCUAAAUCCCUGGCCCGACUUAGUAUAACUUUAAAUGCAUAUUGGGGAGAGAAAGAAGCCAAUCCUCAAAGGCCACACGUAGUAUAGUCCCAUCUCUCUGACAUUCUGGAAAAGGCAAAAGUACAAAGUAGUAAAAAGAUCUGUGGUUGUUGAGAGUCACAGGGAGGGAAAGAUGGCUGAGUAGGUGGAGCGCUGGGGAAUUUUAGGACAGUGAGACUGCUGUGUGAUGCCCUCACGAUGAGUGCACAACACUGUACCAUUGUAAGGCCCUUAAAAUGUACAGCACUCUGAUGUAAACUACAGUCUAGUUAAUAAUAAUGUGUCUGUAUCGGCUCACCCAUGAUAACAAGUGCACUAUAAUAAUGCAAGGUGUUACUAGAGGAAAUGUAGAGAGUGAGUUCUCUAAAAUGAUAGUUUAUUGAACACAAUUUUUAAUUAAAAGGAGAAAUUUAAAAAUCAAUUCUUUGAGGAAUUUGUUGCAGUGAUAGAAAUGUCUGUAUCUGGACUAGAUUGGUGGUCAUACGUGCGUAUACAUUCAUCAAAACUUAUUUAUACUAAAAAAACUGGUUUAUAUUCUUAGACAUUCCACUGUAAGUUUGGGUUUCCUUCUGUGUAAAUUUUACUUCAACAAUAAAAUCAAUGCUU